This 424-nucleotide ribosomal RNA is filed under the name uncultured bacterium. RNAcentral's name for it is "bacterial SSU rRNA". It matches the Rfam family "Bacterial small subunit ribosomal RNA", at positions 358 to 774 of the family's 1533-position model. The record is from RNAcentral.
AGGAUCAUUUGCAAUGGGCGAAAGCCUGACAAUGCGACGCUGCGUGGAGGAUGAAGGCCUUCGGGUUGUAAACUCCUGUCAUGGGGGAACAGGCGAGGGGACCCAACACGUCCCUUAGUUGAGUGUACCCCAAGAGGAAGCGACGGCUAACUCUGUGCCAGCAGCCGCGGUAAUACAGAGGUCGCAAGCGUUGUUCGGAUUUACUGGGCGUAAAGGGCGCGUAGGCGGCAGGGCGUGUCAAGUGUGAAAUCUCCGGGCCCAACCCGGAAAGUGCGCUUGAAACUACCUUGCUCGAGUCCGGAAGAGGGAAUCGGAAUACAGGGUGUAGCGGUGAAAUGCGUUGAUAUCCUGUAGAACACCGGAGGCGAAGGCGGAUUCCUUGUACGGUACUGACGCUGAGGCGCGAAAGUCGGGGGAGCAAACA